AUGCUUUUGGUGCGAAUGCUUAUGCGGCAGAUCAUGCACAUUCUAAGGAAAACAGUUUUGGUGAAAGUGCUUAUGCGGUGCAUUGGGAUCCUCAUUCUUAAAAAGACAGUUUUGGUGAAAGUGCUUAUGCGGUGCAUUGGGAUCCUCCUUCUCGUAAAAAAAGACAGUUUUGGUGUAAGUGCUUAUGCGGUGCAUUGGGAUCCUCCUUCUCAAGAAGGAGGUUUUGGGGGAAGUGCUUAUAAGGUGGAUUGGAACCCAGAAGAUGCACUCUCGAAAGUAAAAGGUUUUGGGGCAAGUGCGAAUAAGGUGGACUGGAACCCAGAACAUGCACCUUCGAAAGAAAAAGGUUUUGGGGCUAGUGAUUACAAGGUGGAUUGGAACCCAGAAGAUGGACAUUCCGGCUUUGGGGCAAGUGCAUAUAAGGUAUCUUGGAGCCCAGAUGGUGCACCUUCUGAAAAAAAGGGUUUUGACGCAAGUGCUUAUGCGGUACAUUGGGAUCCAAAUCAUGCACACUCUCCUUCCUCCAUUACUGACGCACCAGCAAAACAUAGGCAUAUAAAAGUUCAAACCGGCAUGUUAUUCCUGAAGAAGAAUCUGCACAUCGGCACUACACUUCCUAAAGGAACCAUGUUUGCACGAGAUGGUGCACCAAAGUCUGUUCAUUUUGCCUCUACUCCACUGGAGUCAAAGUACUUGACAACCAUCCUUUCGCAUUUCAUGAUACCUCACGGCUCGACGAAGGCAAAGCAGGUAGCUGACACCCUUUGUUCAUGCGGCAAACCGGUUGACAAGGAGGAGCCUCACAUGUGCUUCUCAUCUCGUGAAGCAAUGUCAAGGUUCGCCACCAGAGAAUUAGGGGUCAGCGGCGCACGAGCAGCCAUUACAAGGAUUCAUGGAAAUGAGACCCCCAACUCCAUGUACGUUGUGGAACAGGUCACCCAACUCAACAAUAACGUGGUGCCAUGCCAUCCUAUGGAUUUUCCGUAUGAGGUCUUUUAUUGCCAUCUGCCGAAAGAGGUGCAGUCUUUGAGGGUGCAACUCAAGGGUUUGAAAGAUGGCAUGCCGCACGUGACGGCAAUAGCUAUGUGUCACAUGAACACAUCUAAUUGGGACACCCAGUACUUUGAGCUAUUAGAUGGAAAGCGUGGUGAACCUAUUUGCCACUACAUGCCUACCAAUUAUAUCAUGUUUUAUUAG
Molecule: ribosomal RNA, 1197 nt
Filed under: Triticum aestivum (bread wheat)
Lineage: Eukaryota; Viridiplantae; Streptophyta; Magnoliopsida; Poales; Poaceae
Description: partial small subunit ribosomal RNA
Source: RNAcentral